RNAcentral lists this ribosomal RNA (468 nucleotides) under uncultured bacterium. RNAcentral's name for it is "partial 16S ribosomal RNA". It matches the Rfam family "Bacterial small subunit ribosomal RNA", at positions 28 to 507 of the family's 1533-position model. The record is from RNAcentral.
GACGAACGCUGGCGGCGUGCUUAACACAUGCAAGUCGAACGGAAAGGCCCUGCUUUUGUGGGGUGCUCGAGUGGCGAACGGGUGAGUAACACGUGCGUAACCUGCCCUUGACUUUGGGAUAACUUCAGGAAACUGGGGCUAAUACCGGAUAGGAGCUCCUGCUGCAUGGUGGGGGUUGGAAAGUUUCGGCGGUUGGGGAUGGACUCGCGGCUUAUCAGCUUGUUGGUGGGGUAGUGGCUUACCAAGGCUUUGACGGGUAGCCGGCCUGAGAGGGUGACCGGCCACAUUGGGACUGCGAGACGGACCAGUCUCCUACGGGAGGCAGCAGUGGGGAAUAUUGCACAAUGGGCGGAAGCCUGAUGCAGCAACGCCGCGUGCGGGAUGACGGCCUUCGGGUUGUAAACCGCUUUCGCCUGUGACGAAGCGUGAGUGACGGUAAUGGGUAAAGAAGCACCGGCUAACUACGUG